RNAcentral lists this ribosomal RNA (253 nucleotides) under uncultured bacterium. RNAcentral describes it as "partial 16S ribosomal RNA". It matches the Rfam family "Bacterial small subunit ribosomal RNA", at positions 524 to 776 of the family's 1533-position model. The record is from RNAcentral.
GACGGAGGAUGCAAGCGUUAUCCGGAAUGAUUGGGCGUAAAGCGUCCGCAGGUGGCUAUGUAAGUCUGCUGUUAAAGAGUGAGGCUCAACCUCAUAAGAGCAGUGGAAACUACAUGGCUAGAGUGCGUUCGGGGCAGAGGGAAUUCCUGGUGUAGCGGUGAAAUGCGUAGAGAUCAGGAAGAACACCGGUGGCGAAAGCGCUCUGCUAGGCCGCAACUGACACUGAGGGACGAAAGCUAGGGGAGCGAAUGGG